RNAcentral lists this long non-coding RNA (592 nucleotides) under Ananas comosus (pineapple). RNAcentral's name for it is "long non-coding RNA (ACOM_LNC000775)". The record is from RNAcentral. Lineage: Eukaryota; Viridiplantae; Streptophyta; Magnoliopsida; Poales; Bromeliaceae.
UUUAGAAUUAUGGUUCGUCUAUUUUCCAGGCAUUCAAAGAAUAGAAAAAAAUUAUGUAUCUAGAAAAUAUGCCUGUCAGGUACUUUAUUAUGCAUGUAGGCUUGUAGAUUGUUUAAUUUAUAUAAUUUGCUUUUCUUUCUUUUGUUUGUUGCAGGAAAUGAAUUGCUGUUGAAAUAGGAGCUGAAGCAUUUUUUUUAUCGUUUUUUAAGUAUUUUCUAUUUUCAAAGUUGAGCGAGUCAGGAAUAAUGUUGAACUGUAUAUCGAAUUAUACUCUAUUGCCUUUAAAUUGAUUUUGCUAUUAUUUUGUUUUUAAGCUGUUGUGGAUCAGAAGUUAAUUAGUCUUUUAAAUUAUUGUUAAAAGAAUAAUUUUGUUUAUUUUAAUAUUUUGUUUGCUAUUUUGUAUAUGUUAUGUUAUAAAAUAUAAGCUGUAUAUUUUUAUAUUUAGUUGUAAGGACUGAGAUUUUUUACAGUGCAACUAAACUCUCUGUUGAUGAUGUUUAUGUGUGUAAUUUAAUUACAUAAGCACUCGUCAAGUUUCAGGAGAAAAUGAGCUAAAAUGGAGAAGUUACGCAAUUUUUAAAUUUCACUUAAG